This 3666-nucleotide long non-coding RNA is filed under the name Homo sapiens (human). Its description in RNAcentral is "LNC_000800". The record is from RNAcentral. Lineage: Eukaryota; Metazoa; Chordata; Mammalia; Primates; Hominidae.
CCAAGUCAUAAUAUUCCUCUGCAUGGUUCUUUCCAUACCUCUAUCAGGAAUAAUCACAGGCCUCUUAAGCUAAAGGCCUCCCUAUGAUUGCAAUUUUGAUAUUCUCCAAGAAUAAUUUUCAGUCAUUCUUGUCCAUUAUAUGCAUCUAAGCUUCCUAUUACAUUUUUAGACUUUUUUAACUGUUUAUCAAAGUAGAAUGUCUGUGCCUCAACUGCAGCCACUGAUCUGAACCCCUGGGCAAUAGACCCUCCAAGAACCCACAGACCUGAGGAAUUCAUUAGGUCCAGAUCAUCUGCAUUCAGGCAAGAAUUCAUCUCCCGGUAUUGAAUUUGGUGGACUAAGUUCUCUCCUCUUGAGGAAACUGCAAGCCGCUGUCUCUGUCUUCGCUUUUUAGUCAAGAAGAAUAAUGCGACGAAAAUGGCCAACAGAACAACCCCAAGGAUCCCGACUGCAAUAAAGGAUGACUGACGGGAUGAGCGACCUGUUGUGGCUUUUUGUGGGGUUUUCUGCACUGAAAUAUCUGUGCAAUUCACUGCAGCGUCUUCCUUGUGCCCACACUCACUAUGGCCCCAGCGUCUGGCAGGACAAUCCCACAAGGAAGACUCAUUCCCUUUGCACUUCACUUCAUUGAGCCAUAUCGGUCCAGUCCCCUGACCAAACUCUGCUUCUUUGAAUGCUUUCAAAGCUGGACCACAGCCAAGUUGUUGACACACCACCUGAGCAUCGUCCAAGUCCCAAGAGUCAUCACACACUGUCCCCCAGGAACCUCCAUGCCAGAUCUCCACACGUCCAGAACAGGAAGUGGGUCCUUCCUGAAGUCUUAUCUUGUUGUCACAUGUGAUCCAGGUCUCCUCCGAGGGGCUGGCCAGUCUCUUCUCCCAUGGAGAUGAUGGGCACUGCCACAGCGUGUCAGGUCCUUUUGGACACUGAACAUUGUCCACCCACAUGGGAAUGGACAUGGCCUUGUCUAAAGAUGCAGGGUUGAUUUUCCCUUUGUCUGCACAGCCCAGCUGCCUGCACACCACACCCACAGUGGUUUCAGACAUGCUACUCUUGCCAACAGUGCCCCAAGCUCCAUUGUAAAAAACUUCCAGACGCCCUGCACAGGCCUCUCUGCUGGCUUCACUGGUCAGUCUCAGAGACAUGAAUUCUGAGCAGAUAACUCCCGCAUCCUCCUUGUGCCUGCAAUUUUGCUGCCCCCAGCCGUGUGAAUGGCACUGCCAAAUGCGGGAUUCUUUUCCAUUGCAUUUCAUCUCAUCCAGCCAGAUGGGCCCUGUUCCUUCCCCAAAAUGAGCAGAACCAGUGGCAUUAAUGGCCUCUCCACAGCCCAGCUGUCUGCAAACCACGUGGGCAUCACUCAGGUCCCAGCUGUCAUCACAGAUGGUGCCCCAGGAGCCCUCAUGAUAGAUCUCUACUCUCCCAGCACAGCGACCUCCUCCAUUUACCAGGCGAAGUUGACCACUCUCUAUGCAGGCCACAGCACUUUCUUCUGGAAUGGUAGGCCUUGUUGGGCCCAAAGACGAUGAAUUGCACGAGGACAGUGUUUGGGACUGGUUUCCUGAGCAGAUUACAGAGGCCACUUGCUCUGAAGGACAUAAUGAAGCACCUAGAGCAGUUACAGGACAAUCUCCCAUGUGCUGCUCAGUCCCAGUGCAGUGAAACAUAUGCCUCCAGAUCUGACCAUUUCCUUUUCCAAAACGUGCUCCUCCUGGGGUAGAAAGGGCAACUCCACAUUUAAGCUGCUGGCAAAGAACAUGGGCAUCUUCUAUGUCCCAGUGAGAGUUACAGAGGGAUCCCCAGGCACCAAGCGUUUUGAGCUCCACUCUGCCCUCACACGGGGUCUUGCCAUUCACCAAGCGAAUUUCUGUGUAUCUUGAGCAGACUACUCCAACAUCCCUGCUGUGGCUACAAGUUCCUUCUGGGCGGGGUGCUACUGGGCAGAGUGAAAGAUGGGACUCAUGUCCCUCACACUGGAAUUCUUCAGCCCAGAUCUGUCCAUUUCCCUCUCCAAAGUGAGCUCCCCCCAGGAUAGAGACAACUGUGCCACACUGUAAUUCCCUGCAUAGAACGCUGGCAGCUUCCAGAGAGAAGUCCGAAUCACAGAUGGAGCCCCACGUGUCACCAUGCUUCACUUCAACACGUCCAGAACAGGGAAUGUCCCCUCCAACCAGUCUGGGUUCCCUGUGGGCUGAGCAGGUAAUUUUGGCUUCUUCAUAGUGAUCACAGGUAAGUCCACCCCAUUGCCAGUUCUUGCAGUCCCAAAGAGAAGUUUCAUUUCCGUUACAGCUACUUAGAAACAGCCAUGUGUUUGUUGCCUGGAUUUUGGAGUACACUUGAUAAGAUGUUUUGAGUGCAGAUCCACAUCCCAGCUGCCUGCAAACCACAUCAGCUUCUUUCAGUCCCCAGCCUCUGUCACACACCUUCCCUAACAGUCUCUGAAUCUCCACCUCAACUGUCCCAGCACAGCGGCUGCCUCCACCUCUAAGUCUUAGCUCCAGAUCUGAUCCAUCAGAACAUGUCACGCCAGCAUCUUCAUUGUGAUUGCAAUAAUGCUUUCCCCAUUCAUGGUGUUUACAUUGCCAGAUAGCAGGUUCAUGUCCCUGGCAAGAAACGCUGUCAAGCCAGAUGUGUCCAAAUCCCUUACUGGCGUUAACUCGACCAAUGGCUGUGACGGCAGUUGGACAUCCCAGUUGCUUGCAUGCCACAGCAGCAUCGUAACUGUCCCAGCCGUCAUCACAUAUUGUCCCCCAUUCUCCUUGGAAUCUCACUUCUAAUCUUCCUGAACAUUCAGUGACUCCAUCUACCAGUCUCAGGCUCAGAUCUGCUCCCUUUGAGCAAAUCACUCCAGCAUCCUCAGCAUGAUCACAGUUAUGCUUUCCCCAUCCUUGAUGUUUGCAGUUCCAGAGAGCUGACUCAUUUCCGUUGCAUAUAAGAUCAUCAAACCAGAUUGGUCCAGAGCCUUCUCCAAAAUUAGAUGAACCAGAGAAACUGACAGCACUUCCACAUUCAAGUUGUCUACAAAUGACAGAUGCAUGAUCUAUGUUGAAGUUAUCAUCACACACUGUUCCCCACCGUCCUUGGAAUUUGAUCUCUAUUCUUCCAGAACACAUAUUCCCUCCACGCGUCAGCCUCAUUUCCAAAUUGGAUCCAUCUGAGCAGGUCACUCCAGCAUCUUGUUGGUGAGUACAGUUACUAUGCUUUCCCCAUCCAUCAUGUUUGCAAUCCCAAAGAGCUGACUCAUUCCCACGACAAGAAACAUGAUCCAUCCAAAUGCGUCCAGAACCUGCACUGGAAUUAGCCCAUCCAGGGGCUUUGAUAGCAGUUGGACAUCCCAGCUGGUUACAAAUCACAGAGACCGCUUCCAUGCUCCAGCCAUUAUUACACACCGUUCCCCACUCCUCCUGGACUUUCACUUCCACUCUCCCGCUACACUUGUUUUCACCAUCCACUAGCCUCAGCUCCUUGUCUGUUCCUCCAAGAGAACUGGUGACAAAACAGGCACUGAGAAGUAAGACCACAGUAAUGGUGAAGGGACUCAAGUUGACAAAAUGUCUUCUGAAGUCAGCAGAUCCAGAGUCUUCAAGUAGCACCAUUCUGAGUUUGCUCAUUCCAAAGAUUUAUAACUUCAAUGAUUCCUAAAUCUUCUUGUAUUAUUCCCUAGAAAUG